CGCGUAGGCGGCCUGGUCAGUCGGAUGUGAAAGCCCCGGGCUUAACCUGGGAAUUGCAUUCGAUACUGCCAGGCUGGAGUAUAGUAGAGGGAAGCGGAAUUCCGGGUGUAGCGGUGAAAUGCGUAGAGAUCCGGAGGAACAUCAGUGGCGAAGGCGGCUUCCUGGACUAACACUGACGCUGAGGUGCGAAAGCGUGGGGAGCAAACA
RNAcentral lists this ribosomal RNA (207 nucleotides) under uncultured bacterium. RNAcentral's name for it is "partial 16S ribosomal RNA". It matches the Rfam family "Bacterial small subunit ribosomal RNA", at positions 568 to 774 of the family's 1533-position model. The record is from RNAcentral.